AUGUUUGGUGGAAGAAGAAGUAAUCAUUCAACAGUUAGCAGAGAUCACCUCCAGUGCAAAGCACGUUAUUCCAACUUUCAAGAAAAAGCCCUGUCUAGUAUUUCACCUUCAGGAUUCAGCUUUGCCAAUAAAGCCAAUGGGUAAAGACCUGUUGCCUUCUAUUAAACAUGUCCCAGGAAAACGUUUCUUCUCACUGAAACUGAGUAACAAAGCACUCCCACUUUUUGUUUGACUCUGUGAAAACUUAUUGGGUUUCAGCAUGUUUUUUCACCCUCAAACAAUCUAUUUAUAACAAAACAGCACAGAUUUUGUUGAGACAAAGGCAAUACCACCACAAGCAAAAUUAAUGAAGAACACAUUUCAGCAUGUCUUCUACAUGGCAGUAUUAUCAAUACACAGAUAACAAAACCAUAUACAGAUGCCAAAGAUUUUAUCUGCUAACUUUUCAUUAGAGGGAAUACACUGGGCAUACAAAUAAGUGUUUUGUAAAUCAAAUGACCAUUGCCUAAAACAAGAAUGCAGAAUAAAAAUGCAGCAACAAUAACAUGUGGCUCAGGGCACAGGGCUCAUAGCAGCAAAGUACAGAGCAUUCCAUAUCUUGAAAAAAAUGAAGUACAGCUUUGUACCAUAGUUUCCAACUUGUGAAGGAAUGUCCCUAACCAAAGCUUCUUGGUGUGAUAUUAAAUCUUUAAAAAUGUAUGUGUCUGUUAUAGCCCAGAGCAGAGUGAAGAGGCUUGAAAAAAAUCUAUCUGCUUAUUUAUUGAAAAAAAAUGUAUAAACAAUUCUGCCAGUAGAAAUGUAGACUUUUUGUUUUACGAAGUAGGCAUGUGUCUGGGAAUGUAACUUGUAGAUGGUUGAUUGAGUCUGUGAGACUAACUGUGAAACCACCAGGACAUCUGCUAAAAUGAAGCUAUAUAAAAAGUAAGAUCAACCACAUUGUAGCUGAAAAUUUGGAGGCAUAAAUUCCCCUCGUUAUCUACUAACAUAUGGAACAUCUCUGCCUUGUGUCAGUGUCUGGUUUGGGUCCUCACAAUAGGUAGCAUGAUCAGAGGGCCACAGUGUAUCCCAGUUGCAACAUCCUGGCACUCUGUAGCACAGAAGAAUCAUUUCAGAUAGGUCAGCUUCUAAAGUAAAAGUUACAAGAAACUCACAAGAUGCCAUAAAUUGACUCUGUUGUUGGCAAAGGCAACAAGAAUGGGGACUAAGUGUGUGUGCAGCCUCCCUGGUUGAUGGCAAACUUGCAGCACGGUCCUCUACAGAUUUUGUUCAUUUUGCAUUUUAGAGUAAGAAGUUCUUUCUGGUUAAUCAAAGUGGAGUUUGUAGGCCUUUUAGUAGAAUGUCUCUGUCGACUCUUCUCCUUGGUGGCCUGCCAAGGCUGAGAGAGUAGAAGAGGUGAGGUAUGUGAGCUCCCACCUGUGCCAGGUGCUAGUUUUGAGAGUAUAUUUGUAAAUGCAGCUGUAGUUUAGAGAGAGUGCUGUUUCUCAUUCAGUAAUUAAUAGCCUGUAUUGAUACCACCUCCCUCCUGGUCACAUUCAAACUUUCCCAGGGUGUGUACAAAGGGGUAUGUAGAGAGAACUCCAGAAAAAGUGAUGUUAUCUCCAGUAUUACCACUUUUCUGGAUAUCAUAGUGGGGGAGGGGGUAGUAGAAAAUUGAGUAGAAUUUGGCCUUAGGUCAAUACAUGAAAUAAAAAAAGUAUGAUCCAUGUAUGUAUAUGUAUGUUUUCCAAAAAAUGAUAAAACCAAAAUAUCACUUACUCAUCCUUCUUCAUAUUCUUUUCACAAAAUUCAUCCACCAUGGCCAUAGAAACUUCUCUCCUUCUUGAUUAUCCUCCUUGUUCCUGCACCUCACCCAGCUGAGAGUGAUGGAAUCCAUCAGCCUCUCCACCACAGAGCUAAAUAUGGCAAGGUCUAGGUCAUAGAGCACCAAAGCCAGCCCAGAAGCCAAAUGCAGCUCUCAUUUCCAAAUGUGGUGUCAUGGGUGUUGACAGGUGGGUAGCAACGAUCAGUGUUUCAGAUUAUUCAAGUCUGUUGUGAAAAAAAAAAAUGCCUGUGAUGUUGCCUCACCUGGGGGUUGGUAAUGUACUACUGUUGCUGGCCUACUGGACAGAGAGCAUCCUGAGAUGCCAUCACAUAAUGACACUGCACUGGAAAGGAUGAAAGAGGCAGGAACUGCAGGCAAGAAGGAAGAUUGCGUCAGUUCACCAAAUGGUGGGUCAGCUCCACAUCCAGGGUGUUGCUAAACCUCCCAUUCUAAAUAUUUGAACAGACUGCCUUCAUCUUGUAUACAUAGGGCCUGGCUCCUCCACUGUGUCUUCCAACCUCAUUGUUAUUUGGGGUAACAAGUGAGAUUUCAGCUCGCCCAAGUGUUUGCUGAAGACCCAUCUGUUCUCUUGAGAAAACUUUAUAGAUACCUGUGAUCAUCACCAAUCUGUUCAUGAUUUUUUAAAUAAUUGUUUUAACCCUGUGUUGGAAGUCUUGAUGCCAGAGUUGCCUGAAUACCUCAUUUUUUUUUUUUCAUUUGAGAAAAGGUACACUGAAUAAUUCCGAAGGUGUUCAAGAUUCCCUUUCGCACUAUGUGGGAUGAUGUCAUUAUAGCCAGAGAAGCUGCAGGAAAUCCCUGGGAGAUAAAAGUUUAAGUGUUUACAUUUUAUGUGGCCUUUGCAGUCCCAAGGUUCUACUUGACUACUUUCCCCCUCUUUGUCUUCUGCUGAUUUCUGCCUUGUGAGUGAACAAGUAAGCUCUGAAGGAUUUCUAAAUUCCAAAUAAGAAAAAAUUGAGUUAAACCCAGUUAUCUGAUAGGAAAGUGGUCAUGUGGCAUUGGCAAUGUCUACAUAGCCUGUGUGGAAAGAUGAAAUGAGCUUCUAGUACUACGGAGAAAAUAAUCAUAAAAAGUUCACUACUCAUAGACAGUUCUUAACAAAAAUGCAGAACUUUUUUUCCAAAUGAAAAUAUUGCUUCAGAAUCCUUUGAGGUUUCUCUUGGUGAAAUGAACUUGUGCCAUUCUUGAAAUUAUCACAUAGUCAUUAACACUGGUGCAACCUGCCACGGUUUAACUUCAUUUACUUUUAUGUGCAAUGUUCCCUCCCCUCCCCUAGAGGACACUCUCUAGAUGCUGAGAAGUGUUCAUGCUGCCGAGGUGGCAUAGAAGAUGCUGGUUUUCAUGGAGAAAAUUAUAUUCAAGAACAAAGAAAACCAUACCUAUUGUUUUUUAAGAUCUGCAAGCACUCAAAGGGACAACUUAGUUCUUUCUAGAUAUUUCCCAUUUGAGUUCACCCCAAAGCCUUUGUAAGGAAUGCAUUAACAAGAGACACACAUCAAAAUCCCCCAGAUUACAGAAGUUAUGGGAGCCCCUGCAGCGGCAAAGCACAGGGUUGGGCACUCGCAGCGUUGCCUAGGAAAUUUCAGCAGGGGAUGAGCAAUCAGCCUAUGACCUGGUUGGUUUGGUUUUCGUUUGGUUUGUUAAAUUUUGGUCAUUCAAACUGCUUUCAGCCUCUUGAUAAAAGAAAGCCAGGAUCUUGCCAUUUUCCUGUGUUAGACUUCCCAGUAAUGUUUGGCUGUGUGUGUGUGCCAUUUUUCUAAAAGCAGCACUGUGUCGGGUGUGUUUAAACACACAGCUCCAUGAGCACCUAUACUAGGGAACAGCAGCUGCUGAAUGGUUUCUGUUUUCGUGAAAAAUUAGGUGUCACUGAAAUUUUUGUUCCUUUUCUAAAAUCCACAAUAAUUUUUUUGAUGUUAUUAUGAAGUUGCCCUUGGGAAUUUAUAAAGACUUGCUGCAAAAAAGCAAUUUAGCUCUCAGACAAGAGAAAGAAGUUAAAUGACCAUUCUGGAACUUUAAUUUAGAGCUCCAUUGUGUUACAUGUGACACACACACACACACACACACACACACACACACACACACACACACUUAAUUUCCCCGUGUUUUCUAAAGCCCCAAAGCCCAUGACUUCUGUUUACCGACCUCAUCAUCAUUCACCUCCACAUCACUUAUUGUCAGGGAAGAAGAUGGUGGUUAGAUGUUGGAUUUGAUUUUUUUUUCCCUUCAUUUACAGUAAGAGGAGAGGUAACAAAUCCACUCGUUAAGUCAAUUCAGUGCUUGAGCAUGUCAGAUGUGAAAUGAUGUACUGUUAGCCAAUUUGGGUGAUUUUGUGUACUGUUGUUGUGUUUUGCUGAUUUUUAUAUGGAAAUAUAAUUAUUCAUCCUUGAUCUCUGGAAGCAAUCAUUGUUAUAAGGAUCAUUUUCCUUUGGAAACACUUUCAUAAUAAAGAUAAGUAUGAAAGAAA
This is a long non-coding RNA of Ochotona curzoniae (black-lipped pika), 4283 nucleotides long. RefSeq lists it as uncharacterized. The transcript is spliced from 2 exons. The record is from RefSeq and is a predicted model, not a curated record. Lineage: Eukaryota; Metazoa; Chordata; Mammalia; Lagomorpha; Ochotonidae.